AUCCAACGCGUUGGGAGCUCUCCCAUAUGGUCGACCUGCAGGCGGCCGCGAAUUCACUAGUGAUUCGUAUUACCGCGGCUGCUGGCACAGAGUUAGCCGGUGCUUAUUCUGUCGGUAACGUCAAAACAGCAAAGUAUUAAUUUACUGCCCUUCCUCCCAACUUAAAGUGCUUUACAAUCCGAAGACCUUCUUCACACACGCGGCAUGGCUGGAUCAGGCUUUCGCCCAUUGUCCAAUAUUCCCCACUGCUGCCUCCCGUAGGAGUCUGGACCGUGUCUCAGUUCCAGUGUGACUGAUCAUCCUCUCAGACCAGUUACGGAUCGUCGCCUUGGUGAGCCAUUACCCCACCAACUAGCUAAUCCGACCUAGGCUCAUCUGAUAGCGCAAGGCCCGAAGGUCCCCUGCUUUCUCCCGUAGGACGUAUGCGGUAUUAGCGUCCGUUUCCGAACGUUAUCCCCCACUACCAGGCAGAUUCCUAGGCAUUACUCACCCGUCCGCCGCUCUCAAGAGAAGCAAGCUUCUCUCUACCGCUCGACUUGCAUGUGUUAGGCCUGCCGCCAGCGUUCAAUCUGAGCCAUGAUCAAACUCUAAUCGAAUUCCCGCGGCCGCCAUGGCGGCCGGGA
This 623-nucleotide ribosomal RNA is filed under the name uncultured Gammaproteobacteria bacterium. RNAcentral's name for it is "partial 16S ribosomal RNA". Lineage: Bacteria; Pseudomonadati; Pseudomonadota; Gammaproteobacteria. The record is from RNAcentral.